This is a long non-coding RNA of Erinaceus europaeus (western European hedgehog), 855 nucleotides long. RefSeq lists it as uncharacterized. The record is from RefSeq and is a predicted model, not a curated record. The transcript is spliced from 3 exons. Lineage: Eukaryota; Metazoa; Chordata; Mammalia; Eulipotyphla; Erinaceidae.
GGCUGAGUUGCAGGGUCCGGGAGGUGGGGGCGCUGUGGCUUCCGGCCGUCAAGGGCGAGGCCCGAGUCUCUGGCCCGGGCGGCCGCAGUCUGCGGGUUAUUGUGGGGGCUUGGUGUCUGCACUAUGAAUCUACUGCUCCUGGAGGCCAUAGGGCGGAGAGAAGCAAAUGGAAAAAUUUCCUUGUUUAAAAUGUUGAAUAGUGGCGCUGGACCUUGGAACACCAAGUGGAGCAUCCAUUAACCAUGUGCAAGGACUCAGUUCAAGUCCCUAGUCCCCUCCUGCAGGAGGAAUCCUCAUGAGUGGUAAAGCAGUGCUGCAGGUGUCUCUCUUCUUCUCUCCCUUAGGAUCUCUCCCUGACCUCUUAUCUCUGUCCUAUUAAAAGGAGAAGAAUAAGAGGGCCUGGGUGGUGGUGCAAUGGGUUAAGUGCACAUUUUAUGUAGGUUGAGUGCACAUUAUACAUAAUGCAAAGACCCAUGCAAGGAUCCCGGUUUGAGCCCCUAGCUCCCCACUUGCAGGAGGGUGGCUUCACAAGUGUUGGAGCAGGUCUGCUGGUGUCUAUCUUUAUCUUCCCUUCUCAAUCUUUCCUUCCCCUCUCAGUUUCUCUCUGUCCUAUCCAACAACAGCAACAAGAAUAAAUGGGGAAAAAAAUGGCCGCAGUGGAUUUGUAGUGCAGGCACAAAACCCCCAGUGAUAACACUGGGGGUGAAGAAGCAGGAGGAGGAGGAAGAAGAAGAAGAAAUGAAGAAAAGAAUGCUGAAUAAUAUUCCAUUGUGUAUCUGGUAUCACUUAUUUAAAGCUAGUUAUUUUUAUGCCUCAUUGUUAUGUAGUACAGAGUAGUAAAGGCAUCACUUAAAA